ACUACUUGAUUUCUCAUGUUGCAGUAAGCUAAACGAUUUCAUCUCUUACGUGACUUGUUGUUCUUGCACGUAACUGUGUAACCGUCUGACUGAUAAAGAAGUUGUUAAAUGUCUUUACGUUUAGAAACAUAAUCAAGCAAACUCAUCCAAGCAGAUGCGAAUAGCCUACAAUGUCAGUACUCAAACCACCAGUAGCAGGCUUAGGACUAGAGUUUGCCAGUCAGACCACUACACCUUUGCCAGCACCACCACCCAGCAAGCUUCAUCAACUCCAGCCAUGCCGAGUUUACCAAUCAGACCUACACCUCUGUCAAAUUCGCUCACAACGCUGCCAGUAACACCCCAGCAAGGUAGAACUGCAUUUUCAUUAAUCUGGCACCAAUAUCAAGGGAGAAACAAGCCAUGAAUGUCUGUCACAACUUCUUUGCAUCUUUACUUUCCUUACAUCUGAAGAGUGUGUUACAUAUAUCAUUAUUAAAAAUAAUUUUAAUAAAUUGUUUAAAGGUAGGGUAUGGAAUGAGCUUUGUUGG
Long non-coding RNA from Sardina pilchardus (European sardine), 530 nucleotides. RefSeq lists it as uncharacterized. The record is from RefSeq and is a predicted model, not a curated record. The transcript is spliced from 3 exons. Lineage: Eukaryota; Metazoa; Chordata; Actinopteri; Clupeiformes; Clupeidae.